RNAcentral lists this long non-coding RNA (237 nucleotides) under Fukomys damarensis (Damara mole-rat). RNAcentral's name for it is "lncRNA (ENSFDAG00000027265.1)". The record is from RNAcentral. Lineage: Eukaryota; Metazoa; Chordata; Mammalia; Rodentia; Bathyergidae.
AUUUCCCUGGGUUUCUGUGCACGUUGGGUGUGAAGGUGAUGGUGCAGCCAGACUGACUUGGCUGGAAGAGCUCAAGCAGAGCAAAUGCGGGAAAAAAAAAUUCUGAAGCUUCUCAUACAAACUGCUAAAUGAGAUCAGUCAGAUGGAAUUUGUGUCUCGUCUCUAAAUGUAAUCUCUAUCGCCUUGCAGCUCACCCUAGCUCAAAGCUAGGAUUCGGGCCCGCUCCGGGAAGGGACA